RNAcentral lists this unclassified non-coding RNA (1982 nucleotides) under Hevea brasiliensis (rubber tree). Lineage: Eukaryota; Viridiplantae; Streptophyta; Magnoliopsida; Malpighiales; Euphorbiaceae. The record is from RNAcentral.
CUUAACUAUCCCAACUGUCUAUUGAUGGUACAACGAUGUGGUUCUGCUCCACACCGCUUCACCCGCCUCUCUGCGCAUAAUAUCCUUCCAUUUGUUUUUAAAUAUCCAAUAAUAAUCUUAAUAUGAGACACUCUAAUUCAACAUGUUCAAACAUUAAUCUAUGGCAUUCUUUAAUUCUUUCUUUCAAAUUAUAAUCCUUUUCCAGUCUCUUGGAUUCCUUAAUAUCCGCAAAUAAAAGUGGCUAAUUCCUCUUAAAUUGUUACAGAAUUAAAGUGGUCCCCCAUUUUCUAGAUUUUAUAAGUAGCCCACCACCCACCCCUCCAUAUGCACACACAAGACACAGACAGGAUGAGCGGAGAAGGCAAGGUGGUAUGUGUAACAGGGGGGUCAGGUUACAUAGCUUCAUGGCUAGUUAAUUUCUUGCUGCAAAAGGGUUAUACAGUCAGAGCCACCGUUCGCGACCCAAGUGAUCCAAAGAAAACAGAUCACUUGCUUGCUCUUGAUGGAGCUAAGGAAAGACUUCAUUUAUUCAAAGCUGAUUUACUGGAAGAAGGGUCCUUUGAUUCUGCAAUUUAUGGGUGUGAAGGUGUUUUCCAUGCAGCAUCCCCUGUAUUAAUUUCAGCUACUGAUCCACAGGUUUCCUUCCCAUGCCUUUUGAUUAUAUUCCUAUAUCUUCAUGAUGGAUUAGGAUUGGUCCAAUUAGCCAUUGUUUUUCCAAAAAUCUAGACUCGAUGAAAAUGGGGUUGCAAACCUUACCCCUAUAAAAGAAAUUUUGUCAGUUCUACUCAAAUCAGUAACAACAUAUAGAUGCAUCAGUUUUGAAUUAUAAACAUUAGCCAUUUUAGUUGGUUGCAGGAGGUUAUCAGCUCUAGCUUUGUUAUUGUAUGGCCAUUUUAAUUCUUUUUCUGCUUUAAUUUCUAUCCCGGUGUCAUUUAUGCUUAUAAUUUUGAGGUAUUAUCUGGUUUGUCCACUGUUCAUAAACCGUGUAUUCACAAAAACUUCCAUUUUGUUUUGCUGUAUCUCAGGCAGAACUAAUUGAUCCUGCAGUGAAAGGAACACUUAACGUACUUAAAUCAUGUACAAAAGUUCAGUCUAUCAAGAGAGUGGUUAUAACAUCUUCUAUUGCAACAGUUAUGUUUGACAGAAAACCUCAGACCCCUGAUGUGGUGGUAGAUGAGACUUGGCAUUCGGAUCCAGCAGUUUGUAAGGAAAUGAAGGUGUUCUUUUGUGCUAAUUUCUUAGUACUUUAUAAACUUAUUUAUUUUGGUUUAUAAAAUCUUAUCUUCAAUCUUCUUAAAUUAUUACUUAUUUCCAGAGAUAUAAAAGCAACAUAAAAGAACCAUCUCUGUUCUUUUCUCUGUUGUUCUCUACGUCUAAUUAUAUGCUGAUGCCACUUAAUUUAGUUUCUUUUCAGCUUUCGUAUAUGCUUGCAAAAACCUUGGCGGAAAAGGCUGCUUGGAAUUUUGCAAAAGAGAAUGCAAUUGACUUGGUUACAAUACAUCCAGCAUAUGUGAUUGGCCCUCUCUUACAGCCAACUCUUAAUGCCAGUGUGGCGAUGAUUUUUAAUCUUGUAAAUGGUAGCAUUCAGCAACCGUUUAAUUAUAUAAGAAUUAUAAAUGGUAAUCUUCCAAACAAAAAGGAUUUCUAGAAGAUGAUAUAUAUGUAAAUACGUGGUUAUUUUAUAUAACUCAACUAAACUUAGCCCACUUUCAAUCCAGUUAUAGAUUUUUUUUUUCCUUCAUUCUGUUUGUUUUGGAACUAACCAAGAAAUUUCAAAUUUAUCCCCACUGAUCGAACCAGUCUGCCUUGCAACAAGAUUAUUCUUUAUUUUCUUUGAUAGAACGUCUUAGUUUUCUUGGUGCAGGAGCUCAGACAUAUCCCAACGAAUAUUACGGGUCAACUGAUGUUAGGGACGUUGCAGAAGCUCAUAUUCAAGCUUUUGAGAUUCCUUCAGCUUAUGGCAGAUAUUGUUUAGUUGCAAA